UCGAGGUAAAUGGGAUUAAGAACCUUGCUCUUAGAAACUUAGCGGCGACGGGGUGAGUAACACGUGGGUAACCUGCCCCAUAAGACUUGGGAUAACUCCGGGAAACCGGGGGUUAAUACCGGAUAACCUUUUUGAACCGCAUGGUUCGAAAUUGAAAGGCGGCUUCGGCUGUCACUUAUGGAUGGACCCGCGUCGCAUUAGCUAGUUGGUGAGGUAACGGCUCACCAAGGCAACGAUGCGUAGCCGACCUGAGAGGGUGAUCGGCCACACUGGGACUGAGACACGGCCCAGACUCCUACGGGAGGCAGCAGUAGGGAAUCUUCCGCAAUGGACGAAAGUCUGACGGAGCAACGCCGCGUGAGUGAUGAAGGCUUUCGGGUCGUAAAACUCUGUUGUUAGGGAAGAACAAGUGCUAGUUGAAUAAGCUGGCACCUUGACGGUACCUAACCAGAAAGCCACGGCUAACUACGUGCCAGCAGCCGCGGUAAUACGUAGGUGGCAAGCGUUAUCCGGAAUUAUUGGGCGUAAAGCGCGCGCAGGUGGUUUCUUAAGUCUGAUGUGAAAGCCCACGGCUCAACCGUGGAGGGUCAUUGGAAACUGGGAGACUUGAGUGCAGAAGAGGAAAGUGGAAUUCCAUGUGUAGCGGUGAAAUGCGUAGAGAUAUGGAGGAACACCAGUGGCGAAGGCGACUUUCUGGUCUGUAACUGACACUGAGGCGCGAAAGCGUGGGGAGCAAACAGGAUUUUUUACCCUGGUAGUCCACGCCGUAAACGAUGAGUUCUUAUGUUAGAGGGUUUCCGCCCUUUAGUGCUGAAGUAACGCAUAAGCACUCCGCCUGGGA
RNAcentral lists this ribosomal RNA (841 nucleotides) under Bacillus sp. PCSAS2-33. RNAcentral describes it as "bacterial SSU rRNA". It matches the Rfam family "Bacterial small subunit ribosomal RNA", at positions 62 to 878 of the family's 1533-position model. The record is from RNAcentral. Lineage: Bacteria; Bacillati; Bacillota; Bacilli; Caryophanales; Bacillaceae.